GCUUCGUUAGCUUAAUUGGUAGAGCGACCACCUCGAUAGCAGUAACCUGCUAUCAAGUGGCAGGUCGGAGUUCGAAUCUUCGGUGAAGCA
RNAcentral lists this transfer RNA (90 nucleotides) under Niastella populi. It matches the Rfam family "tRNA". From Rfam's summary of the family: Transfer RNA (tRNA) molecules are approximately 80 nucleotides in length. Their secondary structure includes four short double-helical elements and three loops (D, anti-codon, and T loops). Lineage: Bacteria; Pseudomonadati; Bacteroidota; Chitinophagia; Chitinophagales; Chitinophagaceae. The record is from Rfam by way of RNAcentral.